Molecule: unclassified non-coding RNA, 149 nt
Filed under: soil metagenome
Description: partial internal transcribed spacer 1
Source: RNAcentral
CCGAGCUUACAACUCCCAAACCCCUGUGAACAUACCUUUAUGUUGCCUCGGCGGAUCAGCCCGCGCCCCGUAAAACGGGACGGCCCGCCGCAGGAAACCCUAAACUCUGUUUUUAGUGGAACUUCUGAGUAUAAAAAACAAAUAAAUCA